UUAUACCACUUUGAAGCCCUCGUUGACCCACUGUGCUGUUCCAUUGUCAGUUUGUUGCAGCCUUGAGACUCGCUACCAACUUCCAACUUCAGUAUUAAACAAGAUCUCAAAGCGUUCGGUUCGAUACGAGUCGAGUUGCGUCGGUUGCGUGGGUAACUUCGUAAACAAAUGCUUACACACUGAGCAUCAGAUUAAAGAAUAUUCAUCGUUAAAGACGCGCCGCAGGCACAAGUGUCAAUGCUUUUUGUGUGAAUUUUGUGCAGAUACCAAAAAAAAUUGAAAAAAAAAAACAAUAAUAAUAAAAUAAAUAAAUAAAUAACAAAAACUACGGCAGACAACUGGUUUCGUCAAAAGUGAGUAACAAAAAUCUGUAGUAACAAAUACCAAAAAAAGCGAAUACUUAAACACAAAAAAGUGAUAAUGAUAAUGAUGAUCAGAAAAGCACAAGCAAAACCACAAGUAGGACUCCGAGCGGGGAGGAAUGGGAAGGGAGGGUAUCGCUGCCAAAGUGGGUGCUGAUUUCCGUCCGAACCACAAAACCCUUUGGUCACUUGCGUCAUUUGAUAUGCAGACCGCAAAGUCCGCGGAUCGGAUCGGAUCGGAAAAACAAUAGAAAAACUAAACUGGAAAUCCGAAACCGAAAAGUGUGUCACAUGCAAAUUACAUUUGAAAUACAUCGCUGGAAUUUGAUGCCCAUAAACGUAACAAUUACGG
Molecule: long non-coding RNA, 714 nt
Organism: Drosophila innubila
Lineage: Eukaryota; Metazoa; Arthropoda; Insecta; Diptera; Drosophilidae
Exons: 2
Source: RefSeq, a predicted model, not a curated record